This 922-nucleotide ribosomal RNA is filed under the name Chiloplacus propinquus. RNAcentral describes it as "SSU rRNA". It matches the Rfam family "Eukaryotic small subunit ribosomal RNA", at positions 39 to 966 of the family's 1831-position model. Lineage: Eukaryota; Metazoa; Nematoda; Chromadorea; Rhabditida; Cephalobidae. The record is from RNAcentral.
AAAGAUUAAGCCAUGCAUGUCUAAGUAUAAACGAUCUAAUCGUGAAACCGCGAAUGGCUCAUUAUAACAGCUAUAAUUUACUUGAUCUUGACACUAUCCUACUUGGAUAACUGUGGUAAUUCUAGAGCUAAUACAUGCAUUAAAGCUCUGACCUCACGGGAAGAGUGCACUUAUUAGAACAAAACCAAGCGGCUUCGGCUGUUUUCGGUUGACUCAUAGUAACUGAGCUGAUCGCACGGUCUUGCACCGGCGACGUGUCUUUCAAGUAUCUGCCGUAUCAACUUUCGAUGGUAGUGUAUCUGACUACCAUGGUGAUCACGCGUAACGGAGAAUAAGGGUUCGGCCCCGGAGAGUUCGCCUGAGAAAUCGCGAACACAUCUAAGGAAGGCAGCAGGCGCGAAAAUUACCCACUCUCAGCACGAGGAGGUAGUGACGAAAAAUAACGAGACCGUUCUCUUAUGAGGCCGGUCAUCGGAAUGGGUACAAUUUAAACCCUUUAACGAGUAUCUAUGAGAGGGCAAGUCUGGUGCCAGCAGCCGCGGUAAUUCCAGCUCUCAAAGUGCAUAGAAUUAUUGCUGCGGUUAAAAAGCUCGUAGUUGGAUCUGUGCCAUAGGACGUGGUCCACCUUCUGGGUGCGUACUAUGUUCCUAGGCUUUUUGCUGGUUUUCCCGUCGUAGCCUUCAUUGGUUGCGGCGGGUGGCUGGCGAGUUUACUUUGAGAAAAUCAGAGUGCUCAACACAGGCGUAUCGCUUGAAUGAUUGUGCAUGGAAUAAUAGAAAAGGAUUUCGGUCCUCUUUUAUUGGUUUUGUGGACUGAGAUAAUGGUUAACAGGGACCAACGGGGGCAUUCGUAUCGCUGCGUGAGAGGUGAAAUUCUUGGACCGUAGCGAGACGCCCUACUGCGAAAGCAUUUGCCAAGAAUG